This 377-nucleotide ribosomal RNA is filed under the name uncultured bacterium. RNAcentral's name for it is "bacterial SSU rRNA". It matches the Rfam family "Bacterial small subunit ribosomal RNA", at positions 521 to 896 of the family's 1533-position model. The record is from RNAcentral.
UAAUACAGAGGGUGCAAGCGUUGUUCGGAAUUAUUGGGCGUAAAGCGCGUGUAGGCGGCUUAGCAAGUCGGGCGUGAAAGCCCUCGGCUCAACCGAGGAAGUGCACCCGAAACUGCUGAGCUUGAGUGCCGGAGAGGAUGGCGGAAUUCCCCAAGUAGAGGUGAAAUUCGUAGAUAUGGGGAGGAACACCGGUGGCGAAGGCGGCCAUCUGGACGGUAACUGACGCUGAGACGCGAAAGCGUGGGGAGCAAACAGGAUUAGAUACCCUGGUAGUCCACGCCGUAAACGAUGAGAACUAGAUGUCGCGGGUGUUGACCCCUGCGGUGUCGCAGCUAACGCAUUAAGUUCUCCGCCUGGGAAGUACGGUCGCAAGAUUA